Molecule: small RNA, 900 nt
Filed under: Pan troglodytes (chimpanzee)
Lineage: Eukaryota; Metazoa; Chordata; Mammalia; Primates; Hominidae
Description: processed transcript
Source: RNAcentral
GCUGAGAAGCGGGAGUCUCCGAGAGAAGAAAGGCAGGUGGAAGGAGAGGAAGCGGAUGCCGUGGGGUUUACAGCAGGAAAAUCCGUGGAGACAGCAGAUCCGAGAAGCGGCGAUGUUUGCGUAGAACCCUGUACGUGCUUCCUUCGGCCUGUCGCUCUUCCCUUCUCUCUGACCAGCACCAUGCUUCUCCUGGUGACAAGCCUUCUGCUCUGUGAGUUACCACACCCAGCAUUCCUCCUGAUCCCAGGGAAAUCGGCUCAGUAACAACGAAUGUUCGUGCACAUUUCGUGAAAUCUGUCUGCAUGGAGGAGUCACAUUUGAGGUUCACGUGAAUACUAGUCAAAGAGGAUUUCGACAGAAACUGCUUUAUCCAAAUUCAGGAAGGGAGGGUACUGCUGCUCAGAAUUUCUCCUGUUUCAUCUACAAUGCGGAUUUAAUGAACUGCACCUGGGCGAGGGGUCCGGCGGCCCCCCGUGACGUCCAGUAUUUUUUGUACAUACAAAACUCAAAGAGAAGGAGGGAGAUCCGGUGUCCUUAUUACAUACAAGACUCAGGAACCCAUGUGGGAUGUCACCUGGAUAACCUGUCAGGAUUAACGUCUCGCAAUUACUUUCUGGUUAACGGAACCAGCCGAGAAAUUGGCAUCCAAUUCUUUGAUUCACUUUUGGACACAAAGAAAAUAGAACGAUUCAACCCUCCCAGCAAUGUCACCGUACGUUGCAACACGACGCACUGCCUCGUACGGUGGAAACAGCCCAGGACCUAUCAGAAGCUGUCAUACCUGGACUUUCAGUACCAGCUGGACGUCCACAGAAAGAAUACCCAGCCUGGCACGGAAAACCUGCUGAUUAAUGUUUCUGGUGAUUUGGAAAAUAGAUACAACUUUCCAAGCUCUGAGCC